AACAAACAGAAUGCGAAUCACAAUAACAACGUCAGGAAAGUGUUCAGUGAUGAAACUCAUUAACUCAUAUCUUGCAGCAAAAGAAAUUCGUUUUUCAGUGAGAAAAGGUUUUUACCCCUGCUGCAACAGAAUGUGGAGCAAUUUGUGACACAUGGUGUUAGGAAUACCACAAUAUCUUCAAUAAUUUUCUCGCUGUUGCAGAUUUUUGGGAGUGUGAGCUCAACCAACUUGUAUACUGUGUACAUCCGUUCCCCAAAUUCUUUCGAAUGGUAUUUUUAUUAUCACCCUGGCAUUAAUUAAUCGUAUUCACUGCUUGGACUUGUGGAUCUUGAAACUCAAAGUGCCGCAGACCUUCUCUGCAUUCCACACAUAUUUCCUUUCUUCGAUGACCAUUAGAAGAAAACCGGCUGUGACAGGUGUAGAGAACUUGAUGUCAUCACAAUUUCACUGAUAAGCUAAAUGGAGCAGUAGUAAUUCAUUUGCUAUAAAUUGUAAUUUUAUUUUCAUGACUACCUGUAGCUUUUUUCAAUUCCUCUAAUACAGCGAAAUAUUUUUGUCAAAGUUAGCAAAAAUGUGACGAGCUCUUACUUUGGGGUAUGGCACGGAAGUCUCACGGACUAAUGUCCCUAUCCCUCUGUGGUGUUUUUCCGUCCUCAAAGCAACAUUGCAGUUCAUGGCAGAAUAGGUGAUCCCCGUUUGGAGAAUUUUUUCAACACCAAAUAUCGCAGCCCUCGCAUUCAUGUAUUGUAGUUAUGCCUCCGUUGGCUUGACGAAGUGCACUGAAUUUUGCUCCAGGUUGUCACUAUUAAAUUUACGAGUAAGUACAAACUGAAAUCCCACUUAAAGUAAAUGUUCGAUUUUGGCAAUUGUAGAUUUAGUAGUUAUUACGAUGGCCUCGUACGUUUCAUCAGAAAGAAAAUGAUUUUUUUCUUCAGCGUUCAUCUUCCAUUUUUCUAACCAUUUGAUGAAAUCUCGCAGCCACUGCAGUCGAAGAUCAUAUUUUGAGGUGAAUGGUGCUUUAUUUGGUAGGCGCUUGUGAAUUGCUUGCGUAACAUUGCAUAUAUCAUGUAUUUCAAACCAUUU
Daphnia pulicaria is the source of this 1083-nucleotide long non-coding RNA. RefSeq lists it as uncharacterized. The record is from RefSeq and is a predicted model, not a curated record. The transcript has 3 exons. NCBI's taxonomy places the organism in Eukaryota, Metazoa, Arthropoda, Branchiopoda, Diplostraca, Daphniidae.